Molecule: unclassified non-coding RNA, 151 nt
Filed under: soil metagenome
Description: partial internal transcribed spacer 1
Source: RNAcentral
UCAAAAGUCAGCCGGGAGCCCUAGUGGCUGCCGUCUACACCCAAGUCUUUUGUGUACUCAUUGUUUCUCCCUCGGCGGCGUAAGUCGCCGAAUGGACAAACUAAAACCUUUUUGUAAUUGCAAUCAGCGUCAUUAAAUAUAAUAAUAUUUA